UCGUGAAUUUCCGCUGUCGCCUGGCGGUCACCAAACCUGGUCAGCACUGUGGGUAAGGACCAAGCUCGGAUCGAGUCAACACGCGUUGGCACCUUCUCUCACGAGUCAGCAUACUCUGACACAGGCGGGCUCGCCUCUGUGCACGUGUCUGCUUCGCAAAUUCAGCUCAUCCUUAUCCUUCAGAGCAAAACGUACUCUGCAUAAUGCGGCUGCUUCUCCUGCCAUUGUCGUUCUGUCUCCUGCUUCUGUUUAGUGGCAGUGAAGGCUGGUCCAUUUUUAUUGACGGGAAAACCGUAAAGGUGCUUGACCAAAAAGGCACUUGGGAUCAGAUGAACAUCGCCUGCCGCACUGAGGGCGCUCACAUGGUGAAGAUAGACAGUGCUGACUUCAUGUACGGAAUUGUGAAGUUCUUGAAGCAGCAAGGAUUGGCAAACCGCGACUUCUGGAUCGGUGCCACGGAGGUCGGUCACGAGGGCGUCUUCCGCUGGCAGGACGGGACGAUUGUCAAGCAGGGCACUCCUUUCUGGGGAGUCCAUGGCGAGGAACAAGAACCGAACGGGGGUAGUUUGGAAACGUGCGUGUUUAUGGCAAAGAGCAAGUACUUUUACUGGGCUGACGCACUUUGUGAUAGCAAUUUCGGAGUGAUUUGCGAGUUUCCAAGGGAUACUGAUCUAAACUAAAUCCUUUAUUUAGCGGAACAAGAGAGUGAGUGAGAGAGAGAGAGAGAGAGAGAGAGAGAGAGAGAGAGAGAGAGCAUAAGACCAUGAAUCUUCUUCCAAAUACAUAAUGGAAAUUAUCAGCAACCUUUUGGAUUAUUCCUUUGCUACUGUUCUAAAUCGAAAUGAUAUUCCGGACACUGCACUGGCAAUUCUGCAAGAAUGAUACUUACGCUGUACGAAUGACUAUGACAAGUUACAGUGCAUGACGGUUUCGCACACUACAGAGCUCUCGGAGACACUCAGGCAACCAGCAAGUGAGUUGUCAACGAAACAGGGAUUACGAAUUAAUUGCUAGAGACGAUAUUUUUGUCUCUCCUUUGUUUCUCAACCGUUAUCGUCGAGGCUUCAGUGACAUUCUCUUAUUGUGCAGAACUCUGGUCACUUGUUAUUUUCAGAUAUCACAUGUCACAUCUAUGUAUUCUAGUCUUACUGCUUGUUCAUCCACACCAUUUGAAUAAAGGUACAUGGGGUUA
Molecule: unclassified non-coding RNA, 1192 nt
Filed under: Penaeus japonicus
Lineage: Eukaryota; Metazoa; Arthropoda; Malacostraca; Decapoda; Penaeidae
Description: c-type lectin-like, transcript variant X1
Source: RNAcentral